AGUGAACGCUGGCGGUAGGCCUAACACAUGCAAGUCGAACGGCAGCACAGUAAGAGCUUGCUCUUACGGGUGGCGAGUGGCGGACGGGUGAGGAAUACAUCGGAAUCUACUUUUUCGUGGGGGAUAACGUAGGGAAACUUACGCUAAUAACGCAUACGACCUACGGGUGAAAGCAGGGGAUCUUCGGACCUUGCGCGAUUGAAUGAGCCGAUGUCGGAUUAGCUAGUUGGCGGGGUAAAGGCCCACCAAGGCGACGAUCCGUAGCUGGUCUGAGAGGAUGAUCAGCCACACUGGAACUGAGACACGGUCCAGACUCCUACGGGAGGCGGCAGUGGGGAAUAUUGGACAAAGGGCGCAAGCCUGAUCCAGCCAUACCGCGUGGGUGAAGAAGGCCUUCGGGUUGUAAAGCCCUUUUGUUGGGAAAGAAAAGCAGCAGGUUAAUACCCCGCUGUUCUGACGGUACCCAAAGAAUAAGCACCGGCUAACUUCGUG
Molecule: ribosomal RNA, 492 nt
Filed under: uncultured bacterium
Lineage: Bacteria
Description: partial 16S ribosomal RNA
Rfam family: Bacterial small subunit ribosomal RNA
Source: RNAcentral